This is a long non-coding RNA of Mastomys coucha (southern multimammate mouse), 552 nucleotides long. RefSeq lists it as uncharacterized. Lineage: Eukaryota; Metazoa; Chordata; Mammalia; Rodentia; Muridae. The transcript has 3 exons. The record is from RefSeq and is a predicted model, not a curated record.
UAUGUGCCACUGCACCGGCUGUUCUGUGAGUGGCUCCAUUAUUCUGUCAGCUUUGAUUAUCUGUCUGCCAACCUUCUCACAUUUUAUAAUGUAGAGAAUUAGUAACAAUUUCUUGUGAUGGCUUCUCCAGAGAUUUGCUUUAUUGGUGUCUGUGGAUGCCAAGGGGGCUUUCAGUCACAGCUCCUGAUACUGUCACACUCCAGAGUGCUGAGGACACACACUGCUCUCCUGGCAGAUGAUGCCCACAGAAUCAAGAGAAUCAAGGCGGUGACUUCACCUGCCUCUGGUAAAGCUGUGGAAGGAGUGAAACACCAUCUCUCCUGAAAAUUGAGUGAAGUUACACAGCAGCAUCGGGGGACAAACCACUCUAUUUAUAAAUCAGAAGUUGAGAAUUAAAUCCAUUCCGAGGAGUCUUCUGAAGUAUGGAGGCAUUUUAGGAAGCCUGAAUUCCUAAAAUGGGACACUGAUGGGUAUCAGAGUCACAACUGCUUCCAAUGUUCCUGAAGUUAGCAACCAACAAAUGGGAAAAAAAAUAAGUUACUGUGCUUCCUG